This 87-nucleotide transfer RNA is filed under the name Patescibacteria group bacterium. RNAcentral describes it as "tRNA-Leu". It matches the Rfam family "tRNA". From Rfam's summary of the family: Transfer RNA (tRNA) molecules are approximately 80 nucleotides in length. Their secondary structure includes four short double-helical elements and three loops (D, anti-codon, and T loops). The record is from RNAcentral. RNAcentral also lists the same sequence under 1 other name.
GCCGCGGUGGCGAAAUUGGCAGACGCGCAGGGUUUAGAACCCUGUGGAGUAAAAUCCUUGGGAGUUCGAUUCUCCCUCGCGGCACCA